AUAAUCAAAGGAGCAAUCCGCUUUGAGAUGGACCCGCGGCGCAUUAGCUAGUUGGUGAGGUAACGGCUCACCAAGGCAACGAUGCGUAGCCGACCUGAGAGGGUGAUCGGCCACAUUGGAACUGAGACACGGUCCAGACUCCUACGGGAGGCAGCAGUGGGGAAUAUUGCGCAAUGGGGGAAACCCUGACGCAGCAACGCCGCGUGAGUGAUGAAGGUUUUCGGAUCGUAAAACUCUGUCUUUAGGGACGAUAAUGACGGUACCUAAGGAGGAAGCCACGGCUAACUACGUGCCAGCAGCCGCGGUAAUACGUAGGUGGCAAGCGUUGUCCGGAUUUACUGGGCGUAAAGAGUAUGUAGGUGGGUGCUUAAGUCAGAUGUGAAAUUCCCGGGCUCAACCUGGGAGCUGCAUUUGAAACUGGGCAUCUAGAGUGCAGGAGAGGAAAGUGGAAUUCCUAGUGUAGCGGUGAAAUGCGUAGAGAUUAGGAAGAACACCAGUGGCGAAGGCGACUUUCUGGACUGUAACUGACACUGAGAUACGAAAGCGUGGGUAGCAAACAGGAUUAGAU
Molecule: ribosomal RNA, 568 nt
Filed under: Clostridium botulinum C/D str. BKT75002
Lineage: Bacteria; Bacillati; Bacillota; Clostridia; Eubacteriales; Clostridiaceae
Description: bacterial SSU rRNA
Rfam family: Bacterial small subunit ribosomal RNA
Source: RNAcentral